Molecule: long non-coding RNA, 826 nt
Organism: Gasterosteus aculeatus aculeatus (three-spined stickleback)
Lineage: Eukaryota; Metazoa; Chordata; Actinopteri; Perciformes; Gasterosteidae
Source: Ensembl
GAGGAGGAGUGAGGCGGCGCGAGGCGGCGCGAGGCGGGCGGAGCCUCGGGUGUGCUCGGACGUCAUAUUACUGCUCCGCGGGAAGGAAAAGGCCUGUUAAUCAGCAGAUUGUUAAUGAAGGCCCGAGUUCAAAGACACCGGGAGAGAGGGGGCUACGAGGCCCCGAGCGGUGGGAUGGGGAGGAGUCCUGGACCGACUGUCUGUUUGUCAAAACACGUCCACCCGUCUGUCUCUUUGCCCGUCUUCUCCUCUGAUGAUGCCAGCAGAGAUGGGAAGUGCGUGCCGGCGUGCGCGUGGGCGUGCGAGUGCGCGCAUGUCCUCGCGUCUGUGGGACAAAGCGAAGAGUCCUCGGAGGCACAGUCGGGAGAGAACACACGCAGUCUGACUCUCACUGUGUGUGCGUGUUUUUUGUGUCUAUUUAUGCCUGUGUGUGUGUGUGUGUGAGGGCGACUUUGUUGGAGCGUGCCAGAGUGCUGAAAGUGACGAGAAGGCCCAGUGGGAGAAGAUCCUUGCUCUGCUGACUGCGUGUGCAGAAACAGGCCGUGGAGCCGUGCCAUCGGCGAGCGGACACCUACAGCAACAUGUUUAGGAAUUAAAACAAAUAAAAAAAAAACACCCAAAAAAAACAAACGGCGCCAGCUAAGAGAGGAGCCGGAGUUACGUGGUGAGAUCAAAUGAAAAGAAGGAGGAGGAUGAGACGAGCGAACACUUAUUUGAGAGUUUACAUUUGCAUUGACACAAAAGGUCUGCCUGAAAAUUGUACUUCGCAGGCUCUCUGUGUGUAUUUGUAUUGUCCGUAACUAUGGAAACCUGCUAACAAGACGAG